UAUAGGUUAUACGACUGACGGAAGUGGAAUAAACCACAUGAAGUAUAACAAAUAAAAAGCCGACCGUCUGGGCAAAAGUC
This 80-nucleotide non-coding RNA is filed under the name Clostridium neonatale. Its description in RNAcentral is "ZMP-ZTP". It matches the Rfam family "ZMP/ZTP riboswitch aptamer (pfl RNA motif)". Rfam says of the family: Previously known as pfl RNA. ZMP is also known as AICAR. Lineage: Bacteria; Bacillati; Bacillota; Clostridia; Eubacteriales; Clostridiaceae. The record is from RNAcentral.